UUUUAGCCCCGAUGUUAGUGGCAUCUCGUCUUUGGGGACGAGAUAUAACGGACAGCGGGAAAAUGA
RNAcentral lists this small RNA (66 nucleotides) under Flavobacterium sp. 102. RNAcentral's name for it is "Flavo-1 RNA". It matches the Rfam family "Flavo-1 RNA". Lineage: Bacteria; Pseudomonadati; Bacteroidota; Flavobacteriia; Flavobacteriales; Flavobacteriaceae. The record is from RNAcentral.